UACAGAGGUGGCAAGCGUUGUUCGGAAUUACUGGGCGUAAAGGGCGCGUAGGCGGCCUUCUAAGUCAGACGUGAAAUCCCCCGGCUUAACCUGGGAACUGCGUCUGAUACUGGGAGGCUAGAGUAUGGGAGAGGGAUGUAGAAUUCCAGGUGUAGCGGUGAAAUGCGUAGAUAUCUGGAGGAAUACCGGUGGCGAAGGCGGCAUCCUGGACCAUUACUGACGCUGAGGCGCGAAAAGCUAGGGGGAGCAAACGGG
RNAcentral lists this ribosomal RNA (255 nucleotides) under uncultured bacterium. Its description in RNAcentral is "partial 16S ribosomal RNA". It matches the Rfam family "Bacterial small subunit ribosomal RNA", at positions 524 to 776 of the family's 1533-position model. The record is from RNAcentral.